GAUGAACGCUGGCGGCGUGCCUAAUACAUGCAAGUCGAGCGAACAGACGAUGCUUUUGUUCCUCUUUCGUUUGCGGCACACGGGUGUGUAACACGUGUAAACCCUACCUAUCAUACUGGGAUAAUUUCGGGACUCCGGCGCUAAUCCCCGAUAAUAUCCUGAACCGUAGGGCGCCAUAGUGAAAUUCGGCUGUGCGGUAACUUAUAGCGGCUUCCAGGCCGCAUUAGGUAGUUGGUAAGGUAACGGCUUACCAAGGCAACGAUGCGUAGCCGACCUGAGAGGGUGAUCGGCCACACUGGAACUGAGACACGGUCCAGACUCCUACGGGAGGCAGCAGUAGGGAAUCUUCCGCAAUGGGCGAAAGCCUGACGGAGCAACGCCGCGUGAGUGAUGAAGGUCUUCGGAUCGUAAAACUCUGUUAUUAGGGAAGAACAAAUGUGUAAGUAACUAUGCACGUCUUGACGGUACCUAAUCAGAAAGCCACGGCUAACUACGUG
This 497-nucleotide ribosomal RNA is filed under the name uncultured bacterium. Its description in RNAcentral is "partial 16S ribosomal RNA". It matches the Rfam family "Bacterial small subunit ribosomal RNA", at positions 28 to 507 of the family's 1533-position model. The record is from RNAcentral.